Molecule: long non-coding RNA, 414 nt
Filed under: Trifolium pratense (red clover)
Lineage: Eukaryota; Viridiplantae; Streptophyta; Magnoliopsida; Fabales; Fabaceae
Description: long non-coding RNA (TPRA_LNC008881)
Source: RNAcentral
AAAAAUAUAAAAAAUUCAAAAGAAUAUUCAUUUAAAUUGCAAAUAACAUCAAUAAUAUAUAAAACAUAAUCAUCAUUGUACCUAACAUAAAAAGAUUCAUAUUCUAAUUAAUAACAACAAAAUACAUAGCUACUUAAAAAGAGUCAUCCUUCUAACAUUUUGUGAAACAAAUUCAUCGACCAAAUCUUCAAAUUGUAUACUCUCCAAAAGAUCAUUUUCAAUUGCUAUCAUUGCUAAACCAUUAAGUCUUUCUUGUAACAUAGUAGACCGCAAAUAAGACUUCAAUAACUUCAGUUUUGAAAAACUUCUUUCUGCUGAGGCAACUGUCACGGGGAUCGUCAAUAAAAUUCUAUAAGCAAUAAUUGUAUUAGGAAAACAACUCAUGUCUUUCAAAAAUCUUAAUAUAUCAACAGG